GGCGGAGUUCAGUCUUCCCAGGCCCACCACGCUUCGCCGUCGGCUUCGCAUGGCACCGCCAGGCAGAACGACGAGGCGAAGCGCGUCCGGCAUAGCCCGAAGGGCGACGCCGGACAGAAAGAGCGCUUCGUCUUCUGGUUACGGGGCCAUAGCUCAGCUGGGAGAGCGCGUGCUUUGCAAGCAUGAGGUCGUCGGUUCGAUCCCGUCUGGCUCCACCAGAUGGUUUGAUCACCGAGAUCUUGACCGUCGUCCGCGAAACAUCACUUCGCAUCCUGCUAGUCUGGAUAGACAGCAAGUUGCGUGUUUUCUGACAUCGUAAAGAGGAGAUCGAUCCGAGUUGGAUCGUGCAACAUAUCGUUGCGCGAGCCUUCAUUAUCUCCGGAUCAUUUCGGCGCUCGCUUCCAGCCGUGAGGUUGGAUGCGGGUUGUAAAUGAUCCUUUUAGCGAAGCUUGACCGCCUCGCUAUCGGAACGAUCUUACGAAGCAAGCUGGUCUUUCUAGUCAAUGUCCGGCUGUACGUAGCAUUCAUCGAGGGUGCGCGCCCGAGAUUUCGGUCUCUUGGCAAUCGUACAGACAACAUUCUGCCGAGUGUGUGGACAUUGAUAAUGAGAGCAAUCAAGUGCCUUAAGGGUGUUCGGUGGAUGCCUUGGCGCUGAGAGGCGAUGAAGGACGUGCUACGCUGCGAUAAGCCGUGGGGAGCUGCGAAGAAGCUUUGAUCCGCGGAUUUCCGAG
RNAcentral lists this unclassified non-coding RNA (731 nucleotides) under Bradyrhizobium sp. Yac1b1/Yakouta1S5/INERA85/STM10223. RNAcentral's name for it is "partial 16S-23S ribosomal RNA intergenic space". The stretch from base 613 to 731 matches the Rfam family "Bacterial large subunit ribosomal RNA", at positions 1 to 118 of the family's 2925-position model. The record is from RNAcentral. Lineage: Bacteria; Pseudomonadati; Pseudomonadota; Alphaproteobacteria; Hyphomicrobiales; Nitrobacteraceae.